Molecule: ribosomal RNA, 298 nt
Filed under: Clostridioides difficile
Lineage: Bacteria; Bacillati; Bacillota; Clostridia; Peptostreptococcales; Peptostreptococcaceae
Description: partial 23S ribosomal RNA
Rfam family: Bacterial large subunit ribosomal RNA
Source: RNAcentral
GGUCAAGUUAUUAAGGGUGCAGGGCGGAUGCCUUGGCACUAGGAGCCGAUGAAGGACGUGAUAAGCUGCGAUAAGCUUCGGGGAGUUGCACGUAAACUUUGAUCCGAAGAUUUCCGAAUGAGGAAACUCACUUAGAGUAAUGUCUAAGUAUCAUUAAGUGAAUACAUAGCUUAAUGAGGGGAACUCAGGGAACUGAAACAUCUAAGUACCUGAAGGAAGAGAAAGAAAUUCGAUUCCGUAAGUAGCGGCGAGCGAACGCGGAUUAGCCCAAACCAAUAAAGUUUUCUUUAUUGGGGUU